GUUGCUGCAAAACGAUGUCGUGACCCUAGUGAACCCAUCUAGGGCCAUAAUAGCUAGAACCAGGAUGCCAAACCGCCCUGCCCACACGACCAGCAACCCUACGAUGGUGCUAUCACUCAGGCAAGCGAUUUCCGCAGUUAAGGGGACAUGCAAACCACGAUUCUCGGCGCUAUGCAUUAGGGAACAGUAAGCGGGCAGCAAGGUUGUUUCUCACCAGAGUUGAGGUUGUGAUAAGGCCGAGCUGAAUCUCGGUGCGGCAGGUUCACAGCGUAGAUUUGCUCUGAUGAGCAAUAUGCCGCGAGCGGGGUGACACCGGCCUCAGAAGGUCCCCGAGCUGGCUUUUACGGAUCCACAGGGCACACUGCGAUGCUUCAACGAAAUGAAUUUGUCGGUGAACCCGGGAGACUCGCUUAGACGCCUUGCUCUCACACGGCGGCGUCUUCAAUCUCUCCCUCGCAGAUUUGGGCAAUGGCUAUUGGUGUGCGGCGAAGGAAAAGGGAAGGCAGGGCUUCGGCGCAACCUUUUAUGGCUGCCAGAGGUCGGUUAGGAGGUUGGCUGUGUUUGGCCAGCUGGGAUCUCACUGGCGGCAAGGUUCUCGGGGUCGGUCGACGCAAGAGUAAGAUCCACGAGGCGUGGGCUGACUAGUGAGGUCACGGGACAAUAAUGGAGGGGCGCGUGCGGGUGCGGGUGUGGGUGGCUAGUGAGCGGGCCCAGCUUGCCAGUGACAGGCAACCACACGAGUGUGUGGAUGAGGG
This 755-nucleotide long non-coding RNA is filed under the name Zea mays. RNAcentral describes it as "drought responsive lncRNA". The record is from RNAcentral. Lineage: Eukaryota; Viridiplantae; Streptophyta; Magnoliopsida; Poales; Poaceae.